AUGGCGCGGUGCAGCAACGGGCUGCUGGGCCUGCUGAACGCGGGGGUGCUGGUCCUCGCCCUCGUCGUCCUCGGCGGCGGCAUCUGGCUGAGCCACCGGGCCGCCACCACCGACUGCGAGCGGUUCCUGGAGCGGCCGGUCAUCGCGCUGGGUGCCCUGCUCCUGGCGCUCUCCCUCGCGGGCCUCGCGGGGUCCCUCUGCCGCGCCUCCUGCCUCCUCUGGCUCUACCUCGUCGCGCUCUUCCUCCUCAUCGCGCUCCUCCUCGUCUUCACCGUCUUCGCCUUCGUCGUCACCAACCGCGGCGCCGGCUCCGUCGUCUCCGGGAGGGGCUACAGGGAAUACCGCCUCGGGGAGUACUCCACCUGGCUCCAGCGCCGGGUCGAGAGCGCCGGCAACUGGGCCAAGAUCCGCAGCUGCCUCCGCGAUGGCGGGGUCUGCCAGAGGUUCGGCGCCAGGGGGGAGUCCCUGCAGCAGUUCGUCACCAACAACCUCUCCCCGAUUCAGUCUGGAUGCUGCAAACCCCCAACUGGGUGCAACUUCACCUACCAGAGCGAGACCGUCUGGGCCAAACCUACUGGCUUCAACUCUACCAACGACCCCGACUGCAACACGUGGUCGAAUGAUCCGAGGGCCCUCUGCUAUGACUGCCAGUCAUGCAAGGCUGGCGUGCUCGCUAAUGUGAAGAAUGACUGGAAGAAAAUCGCCACCGUCAACAUCAUAUUCCUCAUCUUCCUCAUCAUCGUCUACUCUGUUGGGUGCUGCGCUUUCAGGAAUAACAGGCGGGACAACUCGUACCCAGCCUGGAAGUGA
RNAcentral lists this ribosomal RNA (810 nucleotides) under Triticum aestivum (bread wheat). Its description in RNAcentral is "partial small subunit ribosomal RNA". Lineage: Eukaryota; Viridiplantae; Streptophyta; Magnoliopsida; Poales; Poaceae. The record is from RNAcentral.